UGACCAUGGUAAUCACAGCAGGUUACGCUGGCAUUUGAAUUUGUGUAGAACAAUUUGUCACCGAAUGUUGUAACGUACGCAAGAUCUGAAAGUUUGGUAUUGUUAACAUUGGUAAUUGUUUCGUCAUUCAGACUGAUCAUCUGUAUUCCUUUCUCUCUGGCACAAUAUAUUAAAUAUCCAUCUUUGUAUGCUACUCCACCAUUAUAUGAAUCAACUUUUAUUGAUUUCGUCUUUGAUUUCUUCUUUUAGUCGAUUAUAUUAAUCUGAUUUGAUUCACCGGAAGUUACAGCAAUAGAAUCAUCACCAAUAAAUACAACAUCAAACGUUCGACCAAUGUUCUUUAUCUCAAAAUCUUUUGAUCCGUCAGACUUUAGAACUGUUAAUUUAUUGUCCAUAUCAGAGGAGAAUACAUUAUUAGAAGAGCAUACCAUCCUAUUACCAGGAAGCAGUGAACAGCCAGUGACACCUGACAAAUUUGUACUGAUACGUUUCUGUAAUGUCAGAGUCAGGUUAUCUAUAUGUCUGGUUGGAAGAGCUACCAUAAUCUGGGCUUGUCUGUCCUUCCGUUUGUGAAUCGAAAAAUCACAUGGAUCAGAACAAACUAUUAUUUCACCAAACUUCGGCACGCUAUCUGUGAUUUGUUGCAAAGACUUGUUUAUCUGACAUGAAAUAUUGACUUGAUUUGUGGAGUCACUUGUGGCAAUCGAUUGUAUAAUUUUUUCUUCGCCUACAAUAUCUUUUUCGAUAUUUUUCAUGGUUAGAAAUGUUUGUAGUUCUGAUGCAUGCUGUUUAAAACUGGCAAAAUUUUCUUGUACUUCAGCGAUCUCUUUUUCCUUCUUUUUUAGAGAAGUUAACAAUUUUUCUAUUUUGCUUUUUUCUCUUUGUUUAACUGUCAUUAGUUCUUUAAUCAAGUCAUCCUGAAGUUUAUCAAGGUGAUAGUUAACGUUUAUCCUGGUUUGUUUUAUUGCUGCUUCAAUUUCUCUUUUCUUGUUUUCUAUAGAUUUUAAAUUUUCAUUCCUGUUUGUGCUUAGUCGUUUGAUAUUCUCGACGACUUCCUGCAGGGUUUGUUCGAUUUCAUUAAAUGCGUUUGAAGUUUUUACGUUUUUUAUGAGUUCAUUUAUGUCAGUUAAACCUUUACAAUCGUUGUGAGAUUUCACACAUUUCUUACAGCAAGGACAAUCGUGUUUUGCACAAAACAACUCGUAUUUCUCAUUAUGAAGUUUGCAGGUCUGAGAAAUUUGCAGGACUUCGCAGGGUAGGUUUUUGUAUUUGGCGAUAGAAACGGUUUCAUGGUUUUUUGUUCCCUUGGAAACUGCGUGAUGUUUCUUACAAUCUUCACAUAGUCCUUCGUCACAUUCGGAACACCAUACUACUGAAGGUUUGGUAAUCUGAAGGUUUUCACAAAUACCACAAAUACCCCAAUUGGUGGCCAUAAUCCUAAAAUAGAUUGCAUGUACUUACAUGAAUACUCUAAUAUAUGCUGAAAUGUCUCGCAUACUUUAUAGGUUAUAAUUAAAUUUUAUCUUUAAGGCCUUUAAUAUUAAUAUUAAAGUUCAAGUUUCAUUUAAAUUCAAUAUCAUUA
This 1582-nucleotide long non-coding RNA is filed under the name Mytilus galloprovincialis (Mediterranean mussel). Lineage: Eukaryota; Metazoa; Mollusca; Bivalvia; Mytilida; Mytilidae. The record is from RNAcentral.